AGAGUUUGAUCAUGGCUCAGGACGAACGCUGGCGGCGUGCUUAACACAUGCAAGUCGAACGGAAAGGCCCUUCGGGGUACUCGAGUGGCGAACGGGUGAGUAACACGUGGGUGAUCUGCCCUGCACUUUGGGAUAAGCCUGGGAAACUGGGUCUAAUACCGAAUAGGACCACGCGCUUCAUGGUGUGUGGUGGAAAGCUUUUGCGGUGUGGGAUGGGCCCGCGGCCUAUCAGCUUGUUGGUGGGGUAAUGGCCUACCAAGGCGACGACGGGUAGCCGGCCUGAGAGGGUGACCGGCCACACUGGGACUGAGAUACGGCCCAGACUCCUACGGGAGGCAGCAGUGGGGAAUAUUGCACAAUGGGCGCAAGCCUGAUGCAGCGACGCCGCGUGAGGGAUGACGGCCUUCGGGUUGUAAACCUCUUUCAAUAGGGACGAAGCGCAAGUGACGGUACCUAUAGAAGAAGCACCGGCCAACUACGUGCCAGCAGCCGCGGUAAUACGUAGGGUGCGAGCGUUGUCCGGAAUUACUGGGCGUAAAGAGCUCGUAGGUGGUUUGUCGCGUUGUUCGUGAAAACUCACAGCUUAACUGUGGGCGUGCGGGCGAUACGGGCAGACUAGAGUACUGCAGGGGAGACUGGAAUUCCUGGUGUAGCGGUGGAAUGCGCAGAUAUCAGGAGGAACACCGGUGGCGAAGGCGGGUCUCUGGGCAGUAACUGACGCUGAGGAGCGAAAGCGUGGGGAGCGAACAGGAUUAGAUACCCCGGUAGUCC
RNAcentral lists this ribosomal RNA (771 nucleotides) under uncultured bacterium. Its description in RNAcentral is "bacterial SSU rRNA". It matches the Rfam family "Bacterial small subunit ribosomal RNA", at positions 8 to 796 of the family's 1533-position model. The record is from RNAcentral.